This is a long non-coding RNA of Centropristis striata (black sea bass), 305 nucleotides long. RefSeq lists it as uncharacterized. Lineage: Eukaryota; Metazoa; Chordata; Actinopteri; Perciformes; Serranidae. The transcript is spliced from 2 exons. The record is from RefSeq and is a predicted model, not a curated record.
UGUGCUGUGACUGGUGACUCUGUUCUGUGUGGCAUAGCACUGACUGCCGUUUAUUUUAGUUUAGUAUUUUAUAUUUUAGUCAUAUUGAUUUUAUUGUUUUUAUUAUUUUAGAUUUGAGUUGUGUAGUUUUAGGAUUUUAACAUUCUGUCUUCUUCUGUUCCUAGUAUUGUGGCUGGUGGGAACCCCCAUUCAACGGUGUGGCUGAAAUGCUGGGAGUUCACUUUAGAUGGUGAUAUGGUUUGUGGUUGCACAUUGAAUUAGUGUGGUGUGUUUAUUUGAAGUGUUGGGUUUAUAUUUAUUUUGAA